Eriocheir sinensis (Chinese mitten crab) is the source of this 1347-nucleotide long non-coding RNA. RefSeq lists it as uncharacterized. NCBI's taxonomy places the organism in Eukaryota, Metazoa, Arthropoda, Malacostraca, Decapoda, Varunidae. The record is from RefSeq and is a predicted model, not a curated record. The transcript has 4 exons.
AUCGUUAAAAAAGUAAGAUCCUGAUGUUUCUUGGCAAUAGUUAGGCGUCAGAAACCGGUAAAUACUGUGCUCUGAGUACGAUGACCUGGCAACGGUAGCUAUACGUAUUUUCAUAUUAUUGUUCUGUUGUUUAUUCAAUGUUUUGUUCAAGAAAAAGAAUACCCAUAAUUUUAGUUAGUUUUUGGUUAUAAGGAUUCUUUACGUAAUACAAUUAUAACAUUACCUUCUACUAGUUAGGAAACGUACUGAAUCCUGGAUCGGCUACAGUGAUGUUGGGUGCGCCUAUUCCUUCCUCAUCCCUUCAGAAUCCUUCACCUUCAUCAAGUCCUUCAACUCGUUCUAAUCCUUCCUCCUCAGCAUCACCAAUCCUUCCUUUGUCCGCUCAUCACCUGCAAUCACUACCUUCCACAUCACAGGAGUCUACAUCAACUGGAGCCCCACCCAAUUCACCAUCUUCACCUCAGUUACACAGUUCACCACCCUCACCUCCUCCACCGCCUCUACCAUUCUACUCGUUGGUCAGGAAGGCAUAGACAUAUUCUCCGAGGAGGAGGAAGAAUUUUUUUCCUCCGAGGACCGAAGCUUUCAUCCCUAUCCACCCAACCCGGAGGAAUAAAAUAAAGUACGUACGCAUGUGGAGAGUGCAGCCUGGUUUUUGACCAUUUUGACCAGUUGCUGGAGCAUCAGAACGCAGGUCAUGCUGCAGCUCCAGAACAAGCUCCAGUUUCAGAUGAACUUCACUCCAGACCAGUGCAACUCCAAGUGGAAGAAUCUACUGAGGGCCUACAAAAAAUUUGUUGAUAAUAGUAAAACAACUGGUGCCGCAGCUCUGCCAAUACCUCCCUACUAUAAUGAAAUUCAUGGAUUGGUUCGUGACAGCCAUUCUGUGAACACGUCAAAUACUCUGAUCUUGGACAGUGGUGCACAUGAGAAUCCGACUGCUCAGAGGCUCAGCUCAGAGGCAACUGGUGGUAUGCCGGCGCUACCUGAGGGGGUUCCUGGGCCCUCCAGCCGUGUCCCAGAAGGUGAGACAGCCGCAACCAGACCGUCUGGGUGCCAAGUAGAUGGCACUGAAGAAACGGCAGCAGGAAGAAGCAGGCAGCGGCAGGAUGUACAAGUCAGGCUAACACCAGCCUCACACAACGCCCAGACAAGGGCAUUAAUGCUGCGCCAUGCUGAGGCACUCGAAGGGGUGCUGAAGUUAAUGACGGAACAGGAAGAAAAUCGGAAAGAAUUUAGAAAAAGACAGCUUGAAAAUGAUCAAGCAUUGAUGAAAGAGCUGCAGCGAUUUAACAACAUUAUGGAUGCCAAAAGGUCGUCAAAGAGGCGUAGAGACAGUGAUUCUGA